This 200-nucleotide unclassified non-coding RNA is filed under the name soil metagenome. RNAcentral's name for it is "partial contains internal transcribed spacer 2 and large subunit ribosomal RNA". The record is from RNAcentral.
GCUGGUCCUCUCAUCAGCUCCUUUGAAAUGCAUUAGCAAAUCUAGCAAGACCAGCUUAGGCUUGAUAAUUUUACCAUUUGUCUCUGCUGGGAAUCUACAGUUUUUGCUUCCAACUGUCCAUGUCCAUGGACUGCCUCUUCGGAGACAAACAACCCCUGACUCUUGACCUCAAAUCAGGUAGGACUACCCGCUGAACUUAA